GACAGAGGUGGCAAGCGUUGUUCGGAAUUACUGGGCUUAAAGGGCGCGUAGGUGGUGGUAUAAGUCUGGGGUGGAAGGCUGAGGCUUAACCUUGGAAUUGCCUUGGAAACUGUAUCACUUGAGUCAGCGAGGGGAUGGCGGAAUUCCUGGUGUAGCGGUGAAAUGCGUAGAUAUCAGGAGGAAGGCCGGUGGCGAAGGCGGCCAUCUGGCGCUGAACUGACACUGAGGCGCGAAAGCGUGGGGAGCAAACAGGAUUAGAUACCCUGGUAGUCCACGCCCUAAACGGUGGAUACUAGGUGUGGGGCUCGUAAGGGUUCCGUGCCGAAGGUAAACCAUUAAGUAUCCCGCCUGGGGAGUACGGCCGCAAGGUUGAAACUUAAAGGAAUUGACGG
Molecule: ribosomal RNA, 392 nt
Filed under: uncultured bacterium
Lineage: Bacteria
Description: bacterial SSU rRNA
Rfam family: Bacterial small subunit ribosomal RNA
Source: RNAcentral